UGGGGAAUAUUGGGCAAUGGGCGAAAGCCUGACCCAGCAACGCCGCGUGAAGGAAGAAGGCCUUCGGGUUGUAAACUUCUUUGACCAGGGACGAAAAAAAUGACGGUACCUGGAAAACAAGCCACGGCUAACUACGUGCCAGCAGCCGCGGUAAUACGUAGGUGGCAAGCGUUAUCCGGAUUUACUGGGUGGAAAGGGCGUGUAGGCGGUUUCGUAAGUCGGAUGUGAAAGUCCCAGGCUUAACCUGGGAGCAGCAUCCGAAACUACAGAACUUGAGUACUGUAGAGGAUGGUGGAAUUCCUAGUGUAGCGGUAAAAUGCGUAGAUAUUAGGAGGAACAUCAGUGGCGAAGGCGACUAUCUGGACAGUAACUGACGCUGAGGCGCGAAAGCGUGGGGAGCAAACA
Molecule: ribosomal RNA, 405 nt
Filed under: uncultured prokaryote
Description: bacterial SSU rRNA
Rfam family: Bacterial small subunit ribosomal RNA
Source: RNAcentral